Molecule: non-coding RNA, 230 nt
Filed under: Bacillota bacterium
Lineage: Bacteria; Bacillati; Bacillota
Description: Firmicutes bacterium T-box sequence
Rfam family: T-box leader
About the family: Uncharged tRNA acts as the effector for transcription antitermination of genes in the T-box leader family. T-boxes are found upstream of many aminoacyl-tRNA synthetase genes and some amino acid biosynthetic genes usually in Gram-positive bacteria. The anticodon of a specific tRNA base pairs to a specifier sequence within the T-box motif, and the NCCA acceptor tail of the tRNA base pairs to a conserved bulge in the T-box antiterminator hairpin.
Source: RNAcentral
GAAAACGCGUUGAAAAGCAGAAGUAAUUCAUUUUUUGCUGCACAGAGAGACCCUGUUUGCUGAAAAGGGGAGAGCGAGGAUGAAUGAAUACGGCUUGGAGCGGCUCGCUGAAACUGUCAGUAGGCGAUGACGGGUGCGCCCGAUACAGCGCGUGAGUCAUGCACUCACCGAGGCUUUAUUCGUGAGAAUGGAGCAUAUAGAGGUGGUACCGCGUUUACAACGCCCUCUGU